RNAcentral lists this long non-coding RNA (1420 nucleotides) under Sorghum bicolor (sorghum). RNAcentral describes it as "long non-coding RNA (SBIC_LNC004754)". Lineage: Eukaryota; Viridiplantae; Streptophyta; Magnoliopsida; Poales; Poaceae. The record is from RNAcentral.
AAGAUUGACUCCUUCUAGUUUUAAUCCUAUGUAGCUAUGCUAAACUAGAGAUCUAUUGAUGUGGUGGCUCUAGGGCUUGAACAGAGGCUUCUUCUUCCGGGAUGGAUAAAUGAAUUAGGGUUUCAGAUUGCUCUCCUCCAGGGGCCAGGGGGUCUGCUUAUAUAGUCCUUCCAAAUGAAUAUGGGUCGUCGGAUCAAACCGACAUUAAUCGCACUGUUAUAACAGUUAUGUCUAAACUUGAGAGAGAACUCAAAUUUGAAAAUUAGACAAAGCAACUAUUCAUCAUAUCCAUGCUAGAGUUUUAUUAUUAAGAUUCAGUUUAGCAUAGCCACUUUAUUUAUUUAUUUAUUAAGUACACAAAAUAUUUAUUUGGUUUUUCAUGGUUUUGUAUAUUUUUAUUUUAAUAUAGUAUAAGUAUAUAGAUAGAUAGAAAUACUUAGCGGGAUAACUGGGGGUGCUCUCCCCUAAGCUGGAUUUUGACGUAAUUUCUUCUGAUGUAGCUAGCAGGUGGUGGAGGUGUAUUUGAAAGUCGGCAGCAUCCUGACAGCGAUUAGAAUGCCCUCCAUCUGCUAAUCUUCUUGAUUCUUGAAUUCUGUGGAGCUCAAAUAGACAACAAAGCUUUGUUGAACUGAUUAGGUGUUAGCAUAAAUAUCUAGCCUUUAUCAUGUUGAGCCUCCUCAAUAAAUACUACUUUAUUUGGUAGGAUCAUAAUCUUAUUUUUUUAUAUUUUCAUUUUUAUAGAGCAGAAAAAUAUUUAUUUUAUAUUUAUGACACCACAGUGAAUGUACUUAUGGGUUUUAUACCACUUGUAUACUCACAUGGGGCUUACUGGUUUUAACAUUUUUAUUUUUCUUUUUAGGAUAGUAUGAACAUGAUUAACAAAGCAAACUAUUUUAAAUAAUUGAAAGGAAAAGGAUAACUAUCAAGUUUACCUCUUGGCAAGACAUUCGGUGUUUUUAAGUCCUCCGAACGGGACUCUCCGUUUUCUCAGUCAUCCUGGGAUUUGUUGGAUGGCGUAAUCGGUGGUUCAGGCGGCGCCUCCUCUUCGUGUAUAACUAUCUUCUCUCUCCACACCUGACUCGGUGCUACGGUCUCCUUAGGACAAUUCUGUUCAAACUGUAUGUCUUCAGACCUUACCACUUCUCCUUCGUAGUCUGCCCAUCCGUCCUUGAUGAUUUGCCUCCUCUGGUUGCGGUUGCGUCAUCUUCUUAUUGUCCUGACCUGCUGAAAGCCCUAGUUUGGUUUUGGAUAAUUGAUGAAACCCUAGUACUAACCUCUAUGCUAAGUAUGUGUAGACUUAAUGAGGUUGGUCCAUGCCAAGUGAUGGAGCAAGUGAUGAUCAUGGUGAUGAUGGUGAUGACCACAAGAUGAUCAAGUGCUCAACUUGGAAAAGAAGAAAGAGAAAAACAAAACCCUAUGG